RNAcentral lists this ribosomal RNA (477 nucleotides) under uncultured bacterium. RNAcentral describes it as "partial 16S ribosomal RNA". It matches the Rfam family "Bacterial small subunit ribosomal RNA", at positions 28 to 507 of the family's 1533-position model. The record is from RNAcentral.
GAUGAACGCUAGCUACAGGCUUAACACAUGCAAGUCGAGGGGAAACGGCAUUGAGUGCUUGCACUCUUUGGACGCCGACCGGCGCACGGGAGAGUAACGCGUAUCCAACCUCCUCAUUACUGCGGGAUAACCCGCCGAAUGGCAGACUAAUACCGCACAGUCUUCGAUGACGGCAUCAGAUUUGUAGUAAAGUUUUGUCGGUAGUGGAUGGACAUGCGGCUGAUUAGCGUGUUGGCGGAGUACCGGCCUACCAAGGCUACGAAGGGUAGGGGUCCUGAGAGGGUGACCGGCGACAGUGGCCAAGAGAUACGGGCAAGACGCCUAGGGGAGGCAGGAGUGGGGAACAUUGCACAAAGCCCGGAAGCCUGAUGCAGCAACGCCGCGUGCGGGAUGAUGAACUUCGUUUUGUAAAGGGUUUUCGUCUGUGACGAAGCCUGAGUGACGGUAAUGAGUAAAGAAGCACCGGCUAACUACGUG